AGCUCCCUUGGACCCACGCCGUUGUCCCCCCCACCAUCCUUCCAUGGGGGCGCAGGAAGGAGUGGGACGGAGCAUAAGUGCCUUUUUCAUUAGAACAGACACAAAGCCCAAUUAAUAAAGACCCAGAGAAGAGGAAGGGAAGAACAAGACCCAGGGGUUAGAAGAGAGAAGAACAAGAGCGGAUUCUCAGCCAUGGGACCGCAGCUUGUGAAAGGGGAGCUUUGUUUAUUUAUUGUCUAAUCUCCUUGCUGCCCUGAGCUCGUGCAGCACGUUCCUUAUCGGAAUCUUGGGAGCUUGGGAAUUUCCACAACAGACUAUGUCGAAUAGCUUAUAUUGCUAGCAUAAUAGAGUACAUUUUGACCAGAAAGCUUUUAUCCCUUUUUAUGUGGUAGUGAUUGUUCGGUGCUUCUCUAUAGAAAAGUUAAACCAUCCUCAAUACGGUGAAUAUUAUCUUUCCAUUCUUUCACCCAAGGCAUAAGAAAUUACUAUAAUUUACCAUGGCAUAAAGGCACAAACUCAGUUCCAAUGUCCAGCUUUGAACUAGAUGGUGAACCACAC
This 558-nucleotide small RNA is filed under the name Pan troglodytes (chimpanzee). RNAcentral's name for it is "sense intronic". The record is from RNAcentral. Lineage: Eukaryota; Metazoa; Chordata; Mammalia; Primates; Hominidae.